Cyprinus carpio carpio is the source of this 3164-nucleotide long non-coding RNA. Lineage: Eukaryota; Metazoa; Chordata; Actinopteri; Cypriniformes; Cyprinidae. The record is from Ensembl.
CUUUAAUAUAUCAAGACGCACGAGAUUUUUAAUCAUUAUGAGCAAAGAACCUCAAGCCUGUUUCAGUUCAAAUAAUGGCUGGAGAACUUUCAUGUGGUUUGAGGGGCCAAUCCUUCUACCUGCAUGAUGUGAAGAGACAUCAUCAGCCGUCUGGGAGGGAAAGUGGACAGUUUUCUCACCAAGGAUGUGAAUGUGAUUUUGUCGGGCGUUAAAGAACCUCAUAGUGCUUUGCAGGUGGAUGGUUCAUGUACUGCAGGGGGAAACAAAGUGGAACCCCCAGAACUUUGGAAGUUCAGACCAUUCUGCACAGUUUCCCAGCGAUGAGUUUCUGAGGGAAAUUUGGCCCUUUUGAGCCCCUCAUUCCUCGGCAAUCUGGUAGAAGCAAGGAUGUAGAUUCCAGCAAGGACAAUUUCAGGAAGAAAGAAGCCACUAGCAGCUGCUGUAAGAUGCAAGCACCACUUACUGCAAGCACACACACAGAGGCCUAACUGAGAAAAGUUCAGGCUAUUGUGAGUGCUGCCACAUGGUCUACAAAGACCAGUAAGAAGUCAUCGACAGGCUUCUUUCAAUUACAGUUGUGUAAUUUAACUGAGAAUACUGUCAGCGAGAAUGAAAAAUCUCUUCAGACUCCACUGGUUCAAGAAUGUGAUCGUCUACUGGCGAUUACUGACAACAGAGGAAACCUCUUUCCUACACGUAUCCUGGUCAACAAAAUGCAACCUCACACCCUACAAUACAAAAUAACUCUCCUGAUCCUCUUGGCAAUGUCAAAUUAGGCCUUUACAUCAGCUGCACCACAAAUGUUCAGGACUUUCGAUCUGGAGUUCUCUGCAUGGAUAUAGUACCACAUCACAUUCCCCCGAAAUCCCAGCCAAUAAAGAAGAAACCCAAAAGCCUCUCUUCUGUCAUACUUUCAGAAGCUACAUCUAAAAUGCUCACUCUAAGCUCUUCCGGAGAUAACAAAAUCCCAUGCAUCAUUUCUGGUGUUAAAAAUGUUCCUGAAUCUCAGGAACGAUGUGAAGGUGGUCAUGAUCUACAUGUGCUGCAUUUGCGAAGGGGUCUUAUAGGUGGUAUUCCUAACACGGUCAACUCUCGAAAUCAAAAACAUGAUUGGGAUCACGGUUUAAAAAUGUGCUUAAAAAGCCCUAAGAUGCUACUCCAGCAAGGUGAAGAUGAUAAUUCUGAAGGUUGUGGCCAGUAUGUGUUGGACCAUAAAAAGUUGCCUUCAACAAAACAGUCACUGAAAUCAGCCCAAUAUAUUUUUUGGACUCCAGAGUUAGGCAUCUCUUACCUUUCAUUACCACAUAUUUUACCAUUUCCACACUUGUCAGAUUACCCAUUUUCUAUAGUUAGCUUUAAAAAGCACUUCUGGUCCUUCACUCCAAGUCCAAAACUUGCCAAGAGAAGAAAGAUUAAUCAAAGUGAAAAGCAAAACCCAAUUCAGGGGGCUUGCAGUGCUUCCUGGAUAAGACAAUACUCAUAUUUUACUUUCCACCAUGCCAUGUUUACUGGUCUCCAAGGUGGGUUUUACAACAGAGAUGAAUAAACAAACUGUAGAUAGCAUACUAGCAACCAAUGAAUCAUCACUGAAUGAGUCAUCUCUUGUGAAUCAGAUCCCAACUCAGCCUUCCCUAAAAUAUUUUACUUGCAGUACCCACUGUUUGCCACAUCAAGUUGACCAACAGGACAAUGCUGCAAAUCAACCCUGUGUCCAUGUAAAGCAGUCACAUGAAUUGUCUCCAAUCAAAAAUCCAGUGGAAUUCCAAAUAACCACUUACUCAUCUGAUUUGGACCCUCCUCAGUUGGUUCCAUUUUUCCAUGAAGACCAUCAACUCCAGCACCAUCAGUUUCAUGAUCCUCCAGAACUGUUACCCUUUUUUAACCAUACACUGGAAAAUACUUUCUAUACAUCAGUCAGUAAAGCCUCAAACAGCUCAUUCCUGUCACACUCCGGAGCCUUCGUUUUGCAUUGAAUCUCCUCUCCUCCCUAAUCUCAUGUGGUCCACGGCCUCUUCUGAGUCAGAUUGGGAUUCCGGCCUGUUUUCAUGGUUUGCGGCUGGAGUUCCUCUUCAGAAUAAAGGGGCACAUGAUGACCUGGGUCUGUUAUUAAAAAAACCACACACUGGCAUGCAGGAUGGGAGCUAUACAUCACAAUUGUGCUCCAUACUGCAACCCUCUUGAUUCACAUCGUUGGGAUUGAAGGUGCAACAAUCCAACAAUUGCGACUGUUGAUGAAUUCAAUCCUAAAGCAUUUCUUCAUUCUCCAUUCUUAGUAGUCCUCAUUUUUCACCUCUACAAUUAAAUUGACUACCACCAUUAUUUGUGAAAUAAGACUAAUGAAUAAUGAAUGAAUUGUUUGUUUUUCUUAAAGAAGAUUUUAGCCUAACUCUGCGGCUAAUGUAUAAAUAAAUUCCUCUUUUUCACAUAUGUUCUUUUCAUGAGGACUGCUCAAAACUAUUUUUUUUUUCUUCUGGAUAAUAAAACCAUCUUGUCUUACAUCAAUAUUGCUUUAUACAUUUUUUGUUAAAAAUAUUGAACAGUGUUUGUCUCUCAGUAUGCAAUAUCUCACCAAAACCAAAGAAAACAAUUAGUUUUAAUUAACAGCUGGCAAGUAUUUCAUGCUUUUCUCUUUGAGUGACCUCCAUGACUUCUCUUAUGGCUCUGUCUUGCCCUGAGUGUUGACCAUGACUUUUCAGUGGAAAUAUCCAGGAACAUGUGCUGGUAUUGAGAAUUUAAUGAGGCUUUCCUGGAGGGGCAUUAUCGAAUUAGUUUAAGUGCUGUAUCUGGCCUCUCUCCAGUUUAGAGGCAGUGUUGAUGGUAGAACAAUGCCAUGGUGUUUUUUUGAGAACAUGCAGGAUAGGAACACUCUGAAGGCAAAAAUCAUUUUUAAAAGACAUUUCAGAUUUCCUGUAAAUGUGCAUCUGUUGAUGUGGUGGCAUGACUGGUACAGUGGGGAGUGUUUUAAUUAUUUAAUAUCAAUUAAUGUUUUAAGGCAUCUUUUAGUGACAGAACAUUCCUAUUACAGAAGUUCUGAAAGGAGUAUAGCUUGUACCACUGAUGUCCAUGUAUUAAUGUAGAAUUUUCCAUAAACACCGGAAAUUAGCUUUAUGAAGGCCUAAGGACAGUUAUACAUGUUUCUAAAACAAAAUCCUGAAUAAAUGUAG